CUCGUAGGCGGUCCGUCACGUCGGCUGUGAAAACCCGGGGCUCAACUCCGGGCCUGCAGUCGAUACGGGCGGACUAGAGUAUUGCAGGGGAGACUGGAAUUCCUGGUGUAGCGGUGAAAUGCGCAGAUAUCAGGAGGAACACCGGUGGCGAAGGCGGGUCUCUGGGCAAUAACUGACGCUGAGGAGCGAAAGCGUGGGGAAGCAAACA
RNAcentral lists this ribosomal RNA (208 nucleotides) under uncultured bacterium. RNAcentral describes it as "partial 16S ribosomal RNA". It matches the Rfam family "Bacterial small subunit ribosomal RNA", at positions 568 to 774 of the family's 1533-position model. The record is from RNAcentral.